CAGCCGCCGCGGGAAUACAGAGGAUGCAAGCGUUAUCCGGAAUGAUUGGGCGUAAAGCGUCUGUAGGUGGCUUUUCAAGUCCGCCGUCAAAUCCCCGGGCUCAACCCUGGACAGGCAGUGGAAACUACCAAGCUGGAGUACGGUAGGGGCAGAGGGAAUUCCGGUGGAGCGGUGAAAUGCGCAGAUACCGGGAGGAACGCCGAUGGCGAAGGCAGCCACCUGGUCCACUUCUGACGCUGAGGCGCGAAAGCGUGGGGAGCAAACCGGAUUAGAUACCCCUGUAGUCCUGUCUCUUAUACAC
This 301-nucleotide ribosomal RNA is filed under the name uncultured bacterium. RNAcentral describes it as "partial 16S ribosomal RNA". It matches the Rfam family "Bacterial small subunit ribosomal RNA", at positions 509 to 810 of the family's 1533-position model. The record is from RNAcentral.